This 494-nucleotide ribosomal RNA is filed under the name uncultured bacterium. RNAcentral describes it as "partial 16S ribosomal RNA". It matches the Rfam family "Bacterial small subunit ribosomal RNA", at positions 28 to 507 of the family's 1533-position model. The record is from RNAcentral.
GACGAACGCUGGCGGCGUGCUUAACACAUGCAAGUCGAACGGUGAAGCGCCUUCCUUUUUGGUGGGUGUGGAUGAGUGGCGAACGGGUGAGUAACACGUGAGUAACCUGCCCCCUUCUUCUGGAUAACCGCAUGAAAGUGUGGCUAAUACGGGAUAUUCUGGGUCUGUCGCAUGAUGGGUCUGGGAAAGAUAUUGUUUCGGUGGGGGAUGGGCUCGCGGCCUAUCAGCUUGUUGGUGGGGUGAUGGCCUACCAAGGCGGUGACGGGUAGCCGGCCUGAGAGGGUGGACGGUCACACUGGGACUGAGACACGGCCAAGACUCCUACGGGAGGCAGCAGUGGGGAAUAUUGCACAAUGGGCGCAAGCCUGAUGCAGCGACGCCGCGUGAGGGAUGGAGGCCUUCGGGUUGUGAACCUCUUUCGCCAGUGAAGCAGGCCUGCCUCGUUUGUGGGUGGGUUGACGGUAGCUGGAUAAGAGGCGCCGGCUAACUACGUG